UACGUAGGGCGCAAGCGUUGUCCGGAAUUAUUGGGCGUAAAGAGCUCGUAGGCGGUUUGUCGCGUCUGCUGUGAAAUCUCAAGGCUCAACCUUGGGCUUGCAGUGGGUACGGGCAAUCUAGAGUGCGGUAGGGGAGACUGGAAUUCCUGGUGUAGCGGUGGAAUGCGCAGAUAUCAGGAGGAACACCGAUGGCGAAGGCAGGUCUCUGGGCCGUAACUGACGCUGAGGAGCGAAAGCAUGGGUAGCGAACAGG
Molecule: ribosomal RNA, 253 nt
Filed under: uncultured bacterium
Lineage: Bacteria
Description: partial 16S ribosomal RNA
Rfam family: Bacterial small subunit ribosomal RNA
Source: RNAcentral